This 183-nucleotide non-coding RNA is filed under the name Ornithinibacillus halophilus. RNAcentral describes it as "Ornithinibacillus sp. G8B(2010) 6S / SsrS RNA". It matches the Rfam family "6S / SsrS RNA". From Rfam's summary of the family: E. coli 6S RNA was the first non coding RNA to be sequenced, but its function was unknown until recently. It consists of 184 nucleotides that fold into an extended hairpin structure with a large single-stranded internal bulge. Lineage: Bacteria; Bacillati; Bacillota; Bacilli; Caryophanales; Bacillaceae. The record is from Rfam by way of RNAcentral.
UAUAAGCUACGGUGUUCGUAUUUAACUAAGUUUUAACCUCUAAUGAAAGAAUAGGGAGUUUUACAUCGGAACUCUAAUGUCGAGCCGCCAAAGAGUGGAAGACAGGAAGGUUUCUGCAAACACCCACUUGGUGAAGUGGUGGUUUAAAACUUUUUAUUGAGAGUACGGCAUUUGUGGCUAUGA